Molecule: long non-coding RNA, 904 nt
Filed under: Marmota monax (woodchuck)
Lineage: Eukaryota; Metazoa; Chordata; Mammalia; Rodentia; Sciuridae
Source: RNAcentral
AUUUUGUCAUUUUUCUAUUAAAGUUACAGAAUUUCUUCAUGAGUGCAAAUUUUAAGGAUCAUUCAUUUCAUUGCACAGGUGCAACCCAGAGAUUAGAGUGGUAGAUAGUUUCAAAUGAGACUACUAGACUAAGGAAGGAGUGAACAUAUGAUUAUUAUCAUACAGGUGUUAAAAGUUUCUAACGUUGUGUCAAAAUUAUAAUGUUGAUCAUUGAAUGACAUAUAUUUGUGAAACAAGAGCUUAGAGGAAGGCAUAAAAGACUAUUUAUAACCCAUAUUCUGGUUUCUGUAUGAAAAAUGAUUGACAAGUUCCUAUGAAAAACAUAGAAGACAAGUUAGAUAUGGAACAAAUAUAUGGUGCAUAAUUGUGCCACAAAUUUUGAAAACAUGUUAUUUAUCAGUGAUUUUUUGAUUUAUUUUAUUUUCAUGGUGCUGUUUUUAUGAGACCUUAAUACUUUAAACAUUGUCAACUUAUUUUUCUUUUAUUUUGCAUGAUUGUUUAAUAUACCAAUUAUGCAAAUUCAGCUCAUGGAAGUUCAUUUGUGAACACUAUUGAUCCCUAACUUAUAAAUAUUCUAUUUUGUUUAAUAAUAAUUGGAUUUCUCCAUCUUCUUAUCUACAUAAUAGUUAGUGUAUGAUGUUGGAGAAAAAUAGUAGUAAUUUCAUAGAAUCUGUUUGUUCAGGAGUAAAGGAAAGAAAGGGCAAGUAAACAUCAAGAACAGCUUAGGAGGACUCAUCUUAGAAGCCACUGGAGAGGACCUACCCCUGGGCUACUCCGGUGAUCUGCUCAAUUUCCAAAUAUUCUCAACUCCCUUCAACAUAUCACUUCUUACAUGGCUUCAUUUUAAAUUCCACUUUUGAUUAAAAUGUUCAAUCUCCUUAAACACUUUAUAUUUUAAAUAUUU